UAUUAUGGAGAGUUUGAUCCUGGCUCAGGACGAACGCUGGCGGCAUGCCUAAUACAUGCAAGUCGAGCGAACUGUUGGAAGCUUGCUUCCUUCAGUUAGCGGCGGACGGGU
Molecule: ribosomal RNA, 111 nt
Filed under: Sporosarcina sp. P34
Lineage: Bacteria; Bacillati; Bacillota; Bacilli; Caryophanales; Caryophanaceae
Description: partial 16S ribosomal RNA
Rfam family: Bacterial small subunit ribosomal RNA
Source: RNAcentral